CGCGUAGGCGGACAGUUAAGUCGGGGGUGAAAGCCCGGGGCUCAACCUCGGAAUUGCCUUCGAUACUGGCUGUCUUGAGUGCGGGAGAGGUGUGUGGAACUCCGAGUGUAGAGGUGAAAUUCGUAGAUAUUCGGAAGAACACCAGUGGCGAAGGCGACACACUGGCCCGUAACUGACGCUGAGGCGCGAAAGCGUGGGGAGCAAACAGGAUUAGAUACCCUGGUAGUCCACGCCGUAAACGAUGAGUGCUAGUUGUCGGCAUGCAUGCAUGUCGGUGACGCAGCUAACGCAUUAAGCACUCCGCCUGGGGAGUACGGUCGCAAGAUUAAA
Molecule: ribosomal RNA, 330 nt
Filed under: uncultured bacterium
Lineage: Bacteria
Description: bacterial SSU rRNA
Rfam family: Bacterial small subunit ribosomal RNA
Source: RNAcentral